This 1123-nucleotide ribosomal RNA is filed under the name Pantoea sp. RNAcentral's name for it is "bacterial SSU rRNA". It matches the Rfam family "Bacterial small subunit ribosomal RNA", at positions 33 to 1158 of the family's 1533-position model. The record is from RNAcentral. Lineage: Bacteria; Pseudomonadati; Pseudomonadota; Gammaproteobacteria; Enterobacterales; Erwiniaceae.
GCCCUGGCGGCAGCUACCAUGCAGUCGACGGUAGCACAGAGGAGCUUGCUCCUUGGGUGACGAGUGGCGGACGGGUGAGUAAUGUCUGGGGAUCUGCCCGAUGGAGGGGGAUAACUACUGGAAACGGUAGCUAAUACCGCAUAACGUCGCAAGACCAAAGUGGGGGACCUUCGGGCCUCACACCAUCGGAUGAACCCAGAUGGGAUUAGCUAGUAGGUGGGGUAAUGGCUCACCUAGGCGACGAUCCCUAGCUGGUCUGAGAGGAUGACCAGCCACACUGGAACUGAGACACGGUCCAGACUCCUACGGGAGGCAGCAGUGGGGAAUAUUGCACAAUGGGCGCAAGCCUGAUGCAGCCAUGCCGCGUGUAUGAAGAAGGCCUUCGGGUUGUAAAGUACUUUCAGCGGGGAGGAAGGCGGUGAGGUUAAUAACCUCAUUGAUUGACGUUACCCGCAGAAGAAGCACCGGCUAACUCCGUGCCAGCAGCCGCGGUAAUACGGAGGGUGCAAGCGUUAAUCGGAAUUACUGGGCGUAAAGCGCACGCAGGCGGUCUGUCAAGUCGGAUGUGAAAUCCCCGGGCUUAACCUGGGAACUGCAUUCGAAACUGGCAGGCUAGAGUCUUGUAGAGGGGGGUAGAAUUCCAGGUGUAGCGGUGAAAUGCGUAGAGAUCUGGAGGAAUACCGGUGGCGAAGGCGGCCCCCUGGACAGAGACUGACGCUCAGGUGCGAAAGCGUGGGGAGCAAACAGGAUUAGAUACCCUGGUAGUCCACGCCGUAAACGAUGUCGACUUGGAGGUUGUUCCCCUGAGGAGUGGCUUCCGGAGCUAACGCGUUAAGUCGACCGCCUGGGGAGUACGGCCGCAAGGUUAAAACUCAAAUGAAUUGACGGGGGCCCGCACAAGCGGUGGAGCAUGUGGUUUAAUUCGAUGCAACGCGAAGAACCUUACCUGGCCUUGACAUCCAGAGAACUUAGCAGAGAUGCUUUGGUGCCUUCGGGAACUCUGAGACAGGUGCUGCAUGGCUGUCGUCAGCUCGUGUGUGAAUGUUGGGGUAAGUCCCGCACGAGCGCACCUUAUCUUUGUUGCCAGCGAUUCGGUCGGGAACUCAAAGGAGACUGCCCGGUG